CUCCCAAAGUGCUGAGAUUACAGGCGUGAGCCACCGCGCCCAGCCCUCAGCCUAAUAAUUUAAAAGAUCUCGUUUCAGACCAAACUGAGGGUUGGGCUGCGAUUUCUCAUGGCCCAAUAGCAAGACACAGAUGAACUGGGGAGGAAGAGAGUUUUUAUUUCUGCACCUGGUUAUAGGGAGAAGGCCUGGAAAUUAUCACCAGACCAACUCAAAAUUACAAAGUCUUCCAGAGCUUAUAUACCUUCUAAGCUAUCUGUCUACGUGUAAGUGUGCACUCUUCUAAAGACAUGUGAUUGAGUGAUGUGACAUGCAGCCUGCGGUCUGUACGUGUGCGCAGUCGCUCCUUCCUCGACCCCUAGCUUUGUGGUAGCAGCAGAUGGGACCACAGUUCAGUCACCAACAUGCAGCGCUUUGUCUGCGCCCAGGAGCUACACACCCUUGAAGUGACCGGCCAGGAGACGGUCGCCCAGAUCAAGGCUCAUGUAGCCUCCCUGGAGGGCAUUGCCCCAGGAGAUCAAGUUGUGCUCCUGGCAGGCACGCCCCUGGAGGAUGAGGCCACCAUGGGCCAGUGUGGGGUGGAGGCCCUGAUUAGCCAAGUAGCAAGCUGUAUGCUUGGAGGUAAAGUCCAUGGUUCCCUGACCCAUGCUGGGAAAGUGAAAGGUCAGACUCUUAAGGUGGCCAAACAGGAGGAGGAGGAGGAAGAGGGGGAGGAGGAGGGGAAGGGGGGAGGAGGGAGGAGGAAGAAAGAAGAUGACAAGCCAGGCUAAGCGGCAGAUGCAGUACAACCGGCACUUUGUCAACAUUGUGCCCACCUUUGGUAAGAAGAAGGGUCCCAAUGCCAACUUUUUUUUCUUUUUGAGACGGGGUCUCACUCUGUCACCCAGGCUGGAGUGCAGUG
Macaca mulatta (Rhesus monkey) is the source of this 898-nucleotide non-coding RNA. The record is from RefSeq and is a predicted model, not a curated record. Lineage: Eukaryota; Metazoa; Chordata; Mammalia; Primates; Cercopithecidae.